AAAUUGUAUCCAGAGGGCCACACAAUUUUACAGAAAAAUAGCAGAUAAAACAGAUUGUGUAUCCCACUCUUCAAUUGACCUUUUCCUGAGAAACCUAGAGAAAAACUGUUCUGGAAUUUGUUCAAAAACAAAAUCAGAAAAGGCAGAUGGUUUUGUAAAAAUAAUUCUAAAAUAUGGUACCGAAGAUAUUGUACGGUUAGAAGAUAAGAAGAAUACUGAAUGUGGAUACAAUCGUACAAAUAUCAUUCUGCAGUGCACCAUUAAUAUUCAUACACAAAAGUCUUUUCAAAGCUGCAUUACAUUCCGAUGUAUUUAUGGAAAUAAUUUCGAUAAACAGAA
Long non-coding RNA from Saccostrea cuccullata (small rock oyster), 339 nucleotides. RefSeq lists it as uncharacterized. The transcript has 3 exons. Lineage: Eukaryota; Metazoa; Mollusca; Bivalvia; Ostreida; Ostreidae. The record is from RefSeq and is a predicted model, not a curated record.